This 73-nucleotide transfer RNA is filed under the name Mustela putorius furo (domestic ferret). It matches the Rfam family "tRNA". From Rfam's summary of the family: Transfer RNA (tRNA) molecules are approximately 80 nucleotides in length. Their secondary structure includes four short double-helical elements and three loops (D, anti-codon, and T loops). Lineage: Eukaryota; Metazoa; Chordata; Mammalia; Carnivora; Mustelidae. The record is from Rfam by way of RNAcentral.
ACCUAGCAGGCUCAGUUGGUAGAGCAUGUGACUCUUGAUCUCAGUGUUGUGAGUUUAAGACCCAUGUGAGGUA